UCAGUCAGCAGGGUCUCCAG
This 20-nucleotide unclassified non-coding RNA is filed under the name Mus musculus (house mouse). Its description in RNAcentral is "oocyte_clustered_small_RNA1506". Lineage: Eukaryota; Metazoa; Chordata; Mammalia; Rodentia; Muridae. The record is from RNAcentral.